UCUUCAUUUUGCAUACUCUCUCGCCUCUCUGACCUGUGAGAGAGUGUGUGAAAUGAAGAGA
Molecule: microRNA precursor, 61 nt
Filed under: Pristionchus pacificus
Lineage: Eukaryota; Metazoa; Nematoda; Chromadorea; Rhabditida; Neodiplogasteridae
Description: mir-8364 microRNA precursor family
Rfam family: mir-8364 microRNA precursor family
Source: Rfam by way of RNAcentral